RNAcentral lists this long non-coding RNA (576 nucleotides) under Lonchura striata (white-rumped munia). RNAcentral describes it as "domestica (Bengalese finch) lncRNA (ENSLSDG00000001477.1)". The record is from RNAcentral. Lineage: Eukaryota; Metazoa; Chordata; Aves; Passeriformes; Estrildidae.
AUGAUGAAGAGAGUGUGAGAAGAAGAUGAGAGACUAAAAAAAAGAAGAGAGAGGAGGAAAAGGAGAGAGUGAGAAGAAGAGGAGAGAGUGAAAAAAAAAGAGGAGAGAGGAGGAAGUGGAGAAAAUGAGAACAAGAGGAGGACAGAGAAGGAAGAAGAGGUGAGAUGAGGAAGAGGAGAAAGUGAGAAGAAGAGAGAAGAGGAAGAGGAGAGAGUGAGAAGGAGCGAGAGAUGAAGAGAGUGUGUGAAGGAGAGAGUGAGAAGAGGAGGAGAGUGUGAGAAGGAGAGGAGAGAGUGAGAAGAAGAGAGAGAAGGAAGAGGAGAGAAUGAGAAGAAGAGAGAGGAGGAAGAGGAGUGAGAAGAAAAGGAGAGAGAGAGACGAAGAGACUGAGAAGAGGAGAGAGUGAGAAGAAGAAGAGGAGAGAGAGAAGAAGAGGAGAGUGUGAGAAGAAGAGGAGAGAGUGUGAAGAAGAAGAGGAGAGAGGAAGAAGAGGAGAAAGUGAGAAGAGGAAGAGGAGAUAGUGAGAAGGAGAGAGUGAGAAGAAAAGAGAGAGGAGGAAGAGGAGAGAGUGAGAAG